Molecule: long non-coding RNA, 1589 nt
Organism: Oncorhynchus keta (chum salmon)
Lineage: Eukaryota; Metazoa; Chordata; Actinopteri; Salmoniformes; Salmonidae
Exons: 4
Source: RefSeq, a predicted model, not a curated record
AUGGUACAAACAUUAUGGGUCACAGACAACAGCACAACAGUCAGUAAGGUAGAGACAACAACACAUCACACAAAGCAGCCACAACAGUCAGUAAGGUAGAGACAACAAUACAUCACACAAAGCAGCCACAACAGUCAGUAAGGUAGAGACAACAAUACAUCACACAAAGCAGCCACAACAGUCAGUAAGGUAGAGACAACAAUACAUCACACAAAGCAGCCACAACAGUCAGUAGAGACAACAAUACAUUACACAAAGCAGCCACAACAGUCAGUAAGGUAGAGACAACAAUACAUCACACAAAGCAGCCACAACAGUCAGUAAGGUAGAGACAACAAUACAUCACACAAAGCAGCCACAACAGUCAGUAAGGUAGAGACAACAAUACAUCACACAAAGCAGCCACAACGAUCAGUAGAGACAACAAUACAUCACACAAAGCAGCCACAACAGUCAGUAAGGUAGAGACAACAAUACAUCACACAAAGCAGCCACAACAGUCAGUAAGGUAGACAACAAUACAUCACACAAAGCAGCCACAACAGUCAGUAGAGACAGCAAUACAUCACACAAAGCAGCCACAACAGUCAGUAAGGUAGAGACAACAAUACAUCACACAAAGCAGCCACAACAGUCAGUAAGGUAGAGACAACAAUACAUCACACAAAGCAGCCACAACAGUCAGUAAGGUAGAGACAACAAUACAUCACACAAAGCAGCCACAACAGUCAGUAAGGUAGAGACAACAAUACAUCACACAAAGCAGCCACAACAGUCAGUAAGGUAGAGACAACAAUACAUCACACAAAGCAGCCACAACGAUCAGUAGAGACAACAAUACAUCACACAAAGCAGCCACAACAGUCAGUAGAGACAACAAUACAUUACACAAAGCAGCCACAACAGUCAGUAAGGUAGAGACAACAAUACAUCACACAAAGCAGGCACAACAGUCAGUAAGGUAGAGACAACAAUACAUCACACAAAGCAGCCACAACAGUCAGUAAGGUAGAGACAACAAUACAUCACACAAAGCAGCCACAACAGUCAGUAGAGACAACAAUACAUCACACAAAGCAGCCACAACAGUCAGUAGAGACAACAAUACAUCACACAAAGCAGCCACAACAGUCAGUAAGGUAGAGACAACAAUACAUCACACAAAGCAGCCACAACAGUCAGUAAGGUAGAGACAACAAUACAUCACACAAAGCAGCCACAACAGUCAGUAAGGUAGAGACAACAAUACAUCACACAAAGCAGCCACAACAGUCAGUAAGGUAGAGACAACAAUACAUCACACAAAGCAGCCACAACGAUCAGUAGAGACAACAAUACAUCACACAAAGCAGCCACAACAGUCAGUAAGGUAGAGACAACAAUACAUCACACAAAGCAGCCACAACAGUCAGUAAGGUAGAGACAACAAUACAUCACACAAAGCAGCCACAACAGUCAGUAAGGUAGAGACAACAAUACAUCACACAAAGCAGCCACAACAGUCAGUAAGGUAGAGACAACAAUACAUCACACAAAGCAGCCACAACAGUCAGUAAGGUAGAGACAACAAUACAUCACACAAAGCAGCC